RNAcentral lists this ribosomal RNA (430 nucleotides) under uncultured Actinomycetes bacterium. RNAcentral describes it as "bacterial SSU rRNA". It matches the Rfam family "Bacterial small subunit ribosomal RNA", at positions 917 to 1348 of the family's 1533-position model. The record is from RNAcentral. Lineage: Bacteria; Bacillati; Actinomycetota; Actinomycetes.
GGGCCCGCACAAGCGGCGGAGCAUGUGGAUUAAUUCGAUGCAACGCGAAGAACCUUACCUGGGCUUGACAUGGACUAGAAAGCUCUAGAGAUAGAGCCUCCCUUGUGGCUGGUUCACAGGUGGUGCAUGGCUGUCGUCAGCUCGUGUCGUGAGAUGUUGGGUUAAGUCCCGCAACGAGCGCAACCCUCGUUCCAUGUUGCCAGCACGUAAUGGUGGGGACUCAUGGGAGACUGCCGGGGUCAACUCGGAGGAAGGUGGGGAUGACGUCAAGUCAUCAUGCCCCUUAUGUCCAGGGCUUCACACAUGCUACAAUGGCCGGUACAAAGGGCUGCUAAGCCGUGAGGUGGAGCGAAUCCCAUAAAGCCGGUCUCAGUUCGGAUCGGGAUCUGCAACUCGACCCCGUGAAGUCGGAGUCGCUAGUAAUCGCAGA